This is a long non-coding RNA of Capsicum annuum, 802 nucleotides long. RefSeq lists it as uncharacterized. The record is from RefSeq and is a predicted model, not a curated record. NCBI's taxonomy places the organism in Eukaryota, Viridiplantae, Streptophyta, Magnoliopsida, Solanales, Solanaceae. The transcript is spliced from 2 exons.
UGUAAUUUAAGAAUCGUUAGAAGAAUAUUUCUCGAAUAUAGAAAGAUUUAUAUUUGAGCAUGAAGAAUAUCGGGCAGACUUUAAGACAGACGGCUUUUAACGCCUUGACCUCUUUAUGAAUAUCCAAGAGUUUUUGAGAAAUAUGUUAUACCCUUUAUGUAGCCUUAAGUUGAGUUUAGAAUAUUAUAGCCUCCAAAAACUUAAUAGAAUUGAACUCGUCUUGUAAAAUCCUAAAAAAAUUCAAAGUAUAAAUAAUAAAAUAAAACGCUAUAUUACAAAGGUCUAUAAAUUAGGGCCUCCUAAAAGCAAUGACAUGUUCACAUACUACACUAUGAAGGGUUUCAUUUCUAGCAUGGUGUUGUUGAAGAUUGGCUUCAUAUUCACUAUUUUUCUCAUGGCACCCAAUGUCAGCGCGAGAUGGAAUAUAGAUUCUGAAAUCUCAAAAUUCGGAAGGAGAUUACUACCACAAGUUAUAAAUGAUGGGCCACUCCAUCCUAUGGUUAUGAAUUCGAGUGCCAGUGAAACAAAAGAGCCUAUAAUUCCAGGGAGGGGUUAAAAUAAGUCAUUUGGUUGAACUUGAUUAAACAACAAUAUGUGCACUAGACAACAAAUGAGUAUUUAUCUUGUAUGUAUUUUAUUUUAUUUGUCUUUAGUGCUUUUUUUAGUAAGAAUAAUAAUGAACAAAGAAUAAUAAUGAACAAAUUCAAAUGAAUAAAAUUUUUACUGUGUUUCUUUUUUUUGAAUGAAAAGGAAUAACAAGUGUGACUAAAUAUGCUUUAAUCCUAAAUUAAGUUGGGCUCGA